RNAcentral lists this ribosomal RNA (443 nucleotides) under uncultured bacterium. RNAcentral describes it as "partial 16S ribosomal RNA". It matches the Rfam family "Bacterial small subunit ribosomal RNA", at positions 338 to 795 of the family's 1533-position model. The record is from RNAcentral.
CCUACGGGUGGCAGCAGUGGGGAAUCUUCGGCAAUGGGCGCAAGCCUGACCCAGCAACGCCGCGUGAAGGAAGAAGGCUUUCGGGUUGUAAACUUCUUUUCUGAGGGACGAAGAAAGUGACGGUACCUCAGGACUAAGCCACGGCUAACUUCGUGCCAGCAGCCGCGGUAAUACGUAGGUGGCAAGCGUUAUCCGGAUUUAUUGGGAGUAAAGGGCGUGUAGGCGGGAAAGCAAGUCAGAUGUGAAAACUCAGGGCUCAACCCUGAGCCUGCAUUUGAAACUGUUUUUCUUGAGUGCUGGAGAGGCAAUCGGAAUGCCGUGUGUAGCGGUGAAAUGCGUAGAUAUACUGAGGAACACCAGUGGCGAAGGCGGAUUGCUGGACAGUAACUGACGCUGAGGCGCGAAAGCGUGGGGAGCAAACAGGAUUAGAUACCCUUGUAGUC